Aotus nancymaae (Ma's night monkey) is the source of this 298-nucleotide unclassified non-coding RNA. It matches the Rfam family "Metazoan signal recognition particle RNA". From Rfam's summary of the family: The signal recognition particle (SRP) is a universally conserved ribonucleoprotein. It is involved in the co-translational targeting of proteins to membranes. The eukaryotic SRP consists of a 300-nucleotide 7S RNA and six proteins: SRPs 72, 68, 54, 19, 14, and 9. Lineage: Eukaryota; Metazoa; Chordata; Mammalia; Primates; Aotidae. The record is from Ensembl.
ACUGGGCAUGGUGACACAUGCCUGUAGACCCAGCUAUUCAGGAGGCUGAGGCAGGAGGAUCACUUGAGCCCAGGAGUUCUGGGUUGUAGUGUGCUAUGCCAAUUGGGUGUCCACACUAAGUUCAGCAUCAAUACAGGGACCUCCUGGGGUGGGGGACCAGCAGAUUGCCUAGGGAAGGGUGAACUGGCCCAGGUUGGAACUGGAGCAGGUCAGAACUGCCAUGCUGAUCAGUAGUGGGUUCCUGCUUGGAAAUAGGCACUGCAUGCCAGCCUGGGGGACACAGUGAGGGCCCAUCUCU